This is an RNA transcript of Serinus canaria (Common canary), 2031 nucleotides long. It is a transcript of the gene named leucine-rich repeat and calponin homology domain-containing protein 2-like, with no coding region annotated. The record is from RefSeq and is a predicted model, not a curated record. The transcript has 4 exons. NCBI's taxonomy places the organism in Eukaryota, Metazoa, Chordata, Aves, Passeriformes, Fringillidae.
GCAGCGGCCGCUGCCGUUGUUGUGGAGGGGCCGGUCAAGAUGGCGGCCGGGCAGGGGGGCGGCGGCGGCAACAACGGCAGCGGGAGCGGGAGCGGGACGACGGCCGGGAGCGGAGCGGCGGGGCUCGGCAUCCCCGCGCACCUGACUCUCUCCUUCUCCUCGGGGCCGCACUGGGGCGCGGCGGCUCUGCCGCAGUCGCACACGGUGCGCAGCCUGGAGCGGGCCCUGGAGGAGGCGGGCAGCUCGGGCAUCCUGUGCCUGAGCGGGAGGAAGCUGCGCGACUUCCCCGGCAGCGGCUGCGACCUGAGCGACACCACGCAAGCAGCUGCAGGGCACCUCAGGCGUGGCUCCGGAGAAACUCCUCCUGUGGUGAUUGGAAAGGAACCUUUGGUGUGUUGCAGCCGAGUGCCAGCCUGGUGGGCGGACUGAAAGUUCCUGUUAGUGUCUUUCCAGCAGCAGAAUCUAAGGGAUCCCUGGCUGUUUUCUCCUUAUUUGUUGGAGAGCUUUUGAACAGCUGCAGGAGUGAUUUUGCAGACAGAAGAUUCCGUGCUGCUUUUAGCCACAGUGGAGUGUCUAAUUCACAAGCAUAAGUGGCAAUGGCUGCUUUAGCCCACUGUUAGUUUGAACACCCUAGAAUGCUCUCCUUAGUGCGGCUGGAUGUGUAGCUGAGGAUAAAUAAGGCCAUAAAUGUGAUACAGUUUCCUGUCCGUCACUCUAUAGUCGGUCCACAAAGCACAGAAGCUGCAUCAGGGCUCCUCCAGCUCUCUGUCUCCAGAGAGGAGGCUAAAGAGCAGGAAGACCAGAAGGCUGGGGAGGAGGAAGGAACAAAGUGAACUUCCCUCUGUUCUCAGAGACCACAGUGAACUUGAAGAUGGUGGUGAAUUUCCCACCAUUCUGAAAGAUGACAGCAAAGCUCCAGCAGUGUGCAUCGAGGACAGGGAAUGUCUUGCAGUGUGGGAUGAGGAGUGGGAACAUCCUCAUCGCAGGAAGAAGGAGAAUAAUGAUCUCACAAUGUGGGAAGAGGAGGGCAGACAGCCAGUGGUGUGGGAAGAGCACAGUGAACAUCAUGCCGUGGGGGAAGGGGAGGGACAGCAUCUCCCUGCGUGGGAAGAGCACAGUGAACAUCCCGCUGUUUGGGAAGAGGAUAGUGAAGCACCACCUUUUAGGGAAGAGGACACUGAACCUCCCUUUGUCUGGGAAGAGGACACUGAACCUCCCUUUGUUUGGGAAGAGGACACUGAACCUCCCUUUGUCUGGGAAGAGGACACUUUGUCUGGGAAGUGAACCUCCCUUUGUUGAGGCAUCGUGGGCUGAGCAUUCUGACAGCAGCCAGAGGGGAGAGGAGAGAGGUGCCUCAUGCAUCUGAGCACGUCUGCUCUCUGUCUUGUCUGCCAGAGGAGGGUGUGGGGUGUGUGUGUCUGAGCAUCAGCUGUGCUCAGUGUUCCUCUGCAGGGCAUACUGUGAGCAUGGGGGAGCCUGCCAAGAAACACACUGAAGCUGAGCCAGCUGGCCAAGGCUACCUGUUGAUGAAGAUCUCUGGUUGGUGAUGGAGUACAUGGAUGGAGGAAAUUCACAGGAUAUUGCUAGACAGACAUGUCUAGCUGAAGGAGGGAUGGCAGCUGUCAGCUGUGAGGUGAGGGCUCCUGCUUGUGCUGCCCAUGGCUUGCACAUGAUGGUCCUUUGAAAGAGAUGGUGAGAACAGGAAUAGCUUCAUGCUCAGAUGUGUUGUUCUUAUGCUCUGGAGAAGAGACAGCCUCUUAAAUGAACUGCCUGUAAGUAUCCCUGCACUUCUGCUCUUUCUCUUCUAGUACUCUUUCAUACUGUUGUUGUACUCUGUCACUCUCUCUUUUGAUUUUGUUUGCUGUUCUCAACUUUGCCGUGGACCCUUUGUCUGGAGUUUCCACUGCACUCCUUGCUGGUCAAAGCAGUUUCUGGUGACAGCUUUGGUAAACUGUCCUUUCUUCUGUUGUAUAUUCAGGUUGCUAAUUCUUACCCUCGUGUUUUUUGAAUAAAAACUCUGGUAAACCUUAA